Molecule: long non-coding RNA, 614 nt
Filed under: Homo sapiens (human)
Lineage: Eukaryota; Metazoa; Chordata; Mammalia; Primates; Hominidae
Description: non-protein coding lnc-GPATCH2-11:1
Source: RNAcentral
AGAAUGUGACUUGGAGAGAGCUCUGAAUGGCUCGGUGUGUUUACGCGAAGUCCGUUCCAGGACGAAAAUCAGCGGCUGAAUGGCCUCAGCCGACUCCUCCGCUAGCUCGCCUGUGCCCUGGUCCUCCGCCCCAGUGCGUCCCCAGCCCGUCCCCAGCCCAGCGCGGUCCACUUUGAUUUCCUAGCCUCGGCGGCUUCCCUUGUCUGCUGCCUUAAUGUUGGUUUAGUGUCCUCCUCAGGUGUCUCUUACGUGCCCACUGAACGCCGCAGCAGCUAGGACGCGGGACAGAUCCACUGGGGGCCGAUAAUUAGAAUACGAUCGUAUCAUCCCCCCGCCCAAGAUAACACGCGAGACCUUUCUUGCAAACCGAAUAGACUCACCUUCUUUCCCUGGGGCGGGUGUUGAAUCCAACCGCACCCUUCUCCCUCGGACCCGGCUGGGGCCUGGAGGGUUUCUGGCGCCCGACUGCGCAGUGCAGACCGAGGGUGCGAAUACCUUGCUAUCCGCGCGAGGAUCCUGCCUCCCACCCGGGGCUAGCUUUUCUCUGAAGUUAGCCUCUGUCACCAGCUCCUAGUUCCAUCGAAGCACCUACCACAGUCGGCCUUCAUUUUCCC